UUCUGGACGNAAACUGACGCUGAGGCGCGAAANCCAGGGGAGCGAACGGGAUUAGAUACCCCGGUAGUCCUGNCCGUAAACGAUGGGUACUAGGUGUAGGAGGUAUCGACCCCUUCUGUGCCGGAGUUAACGCAAUAAGUACCCCGCCUGGGGAGUACGACCGCAAGGUUGAAACUCAAAGGAAUUGACGGGGGCCCGCACAAGCGGUGGAGUAUGUGGUUUAAUUCGACGCAACGCGAAGAACCUUACCAGGUCUUGACAUUGAUGGACAGAACCAGAGAUGGUUCCUCUUCUUCGGAAGCCAGAAAACAGGUGGUGCACGGUUGUCGUCAGCUCGUGUCGUGAGAUGUUGGGUUAAGUCCCGCAACGAGCGCAACCCCUAUCUUAUGUUGCCAGCACUUUGGGUGGGAACUCAUGAGAGACUGCCGCAGACAAUGCGGAGGAAGGCGGGGAUGACGUCAAAUCAUCAUGCCCCUUAUGACCUGGGCUACACACGUACUACAAUGGGAGUUAAUAGACGGAAGCGAGAUCGCGAGAUGGAGCAAACCCGAGAAACACUCUCUCAGUUCGGAUCGUAGGCUGCAACUCGCCUACGUGAAGUCGGA
RNAcentral lists this ribosomal RNA (605 nucleotides) under uncultured bacterium. RNAcentral's name for it is "bacterial SSU rRNA". It matches the Rfam family "Bacterial small subunit ribosomal RNA", at positions 727 to 1330 of the family's 1533-position model. The record is from RNAcentral.